UACGUAGGGUGCAAGCGUUGUCCGGAAUUAUUGGGCGUAAAGAGCUCGUAGGCGGUUCGUCGCGUCGGCUGUGAAAACCCGGAGCUCAACUCCGGGCCUGCGGUGGGUACGGGCAGACUAGAGUGAUGUAGGGGAGACUGGAAUUCCUGGUGUAGCGGUGAAAUGCGCAGAUAUCAGGAGGAACACCGAUGGCGAAGGCAGGUCUCUGGGCAUUAACUGACGCUGAGGAGCGAAAGCAUGGGGAGCGAACAGG
This 253-nucleotide ribosomal RNA is filed under the name uncultured bacterium. RNAcentral's name for it is "partial 16S ribosomal RNA". It matches the Rfam family "Bacterial small subunit ribosomal RNA", at positions 524 to 776 of the family's 1533-position model. The record is from RNAcentral.